CUCUCUCUCUCUCUCUCUCUCUCUCUCUCUCUCUCUCUCUCUCUCUCUCUCUCUCUCCGUCUCUCUUGUUUCUCCUUUUAUCAACCAUUCUAUUGUCUUCUCCUUUCUCAGUCGCCAAUUCUAAGUUAGGAAUUUUACUGAAGAAACCCUAAAUUGGAUUUUGUUCUCAAAAUUAAAUUAAGGAGAUUGAUGUUUAUUUAGGGUUCCGAAUCCAAAUUUAGGAUUCUGUUAAUUGCAAAAUUAUUAUUCUCAUCUACUUUCGAGGAAGUAAAAUUUAUUUUCUUUUUAGUCCAGAGAUAAUUAUUCUUUGAUGUCGUUUUAGCAUCUAAUUUGCAAUUCUUAGGUUGUUUAAUCUUAAUCAAUGUAAUAUGUCAUUUAUUCAUGAUGUUCUUUAAAUUGCGAAUUUUCAGAAAUUAUAAACAACCAACUGCAGGUAGUCUUGGACUUGGCUCUCUUUUGAAGUACAUCGUGGUGCAGUAAAUCUCUGAAAUUGAAAUUUGAAUUGUUUCUUUUGUUCAUUUUGUUUUAGUAUGUCUAUUUUCCCUUAGAUAAGUUAUUCUUAUUUAAUUGCUAAUUUUUCAUAUGUCAUUUCAGUAUGCUCGUCGAUAGCCUUGGGUGUAGAAACCGGAUUCAUGUUAAGAUGAAUUUCUCUAAGGGCUGGAGCUACGAGGCUUGUCGACAGAGGUUGUUCGGGUUUGCUUUGGAGGAUAUAUGGUAGUGGGGUUCUUUCUGUUGGAAUUCUUUUACGGUUCGUGUAGAUGAGUAUAUCCACAUGAUUUCGAGUCAUUCUUCAUCAACAGGUUAUUGACUUAGCAUUAUCUUACAAUAUCAGGUAAUUGCAUUUUUAUAUUUCUCACAUAUUUUGAAAAUCAACAUAAGUUUUUUCGUUUCCUCGAAUAGUAAUUAAGUAAAGAUACCAUGUGAUUGGUUGACAAUAAAUUCAUCUGAUUAUAUAUAUUCAUUUGAGUUUGACUAUUUAUGCUAUACUUAACAAAGUUUUUUUCCGUUUAAAAUUUGUGAGUAAUUUGUCUCUCUCCCUCUUUCCUUAUUGUCAUGAGUUUAAUAAUUGAGAGGAGUGUUUUUAUUUUCUGGUUUCUAUAUAUAACUUUCUCUUGUCAAUUUGAUUCAGCUCAAAAUGCUCUAAAUACCAGAACUCGGGGGAUCAUCCCGGCUCCCGCUAUGGGUUAUGGCAACUAAGGGAUGGUGACGUUAACAACUUGAUGGUUAGUGAUUCUAUGAUACCCGGCCUCGUUCAAUGGAUAAAUUAUUUUUCUUGAGAGUUGGUUAGUAUGUAAAUGUGUUUGUAUACUCUGUUUCGUAUAGAUUUACACGAGUCUUAAGGAUUUGCGGUACUUGCGCUUAAUGUAUUGAAUGACAGGGAAUGAUUUGUAAUAAUGGUUUGUAUAGAUCAUUUUGUUUAUACUUC
Long non-coding RNA from Erythranthe guttata (spotted monkey flower), 1426 nucleotides. RefSeq lists it as uncharacterized. The record is from RefSeq and is a predicted model, not a curated record. NCBI's taxonomy places the organism in Eukaryota, Viridiplantae, Streptophyta, Magnoliopsida, Lamiales, Phrymaceae.